RNAcentral lists this microRNA precursor (146 nucleotides) under Gossypium arboreum. Its description in RNAcentral is "MIR7502 microRNA precursor family". It matches the Rfam family "MIR7502 microRNA precursor family". The record is from Rfam by way of RNAcentral. Lineage: Eukaryota; Viridiplantae; Streptophyta; Magnoliopsida; Malvales; Malvaceae.
UAAAAAAAAAUUCAUCUAUUUGUAUUGUUAAAAUCUGGUGUGAUUGUGAAAUAAUCAAACAGUGACAUAUGGCGCAUGUCAUGUGUACCUCAUGUUGACAUAUAAAGAUAAGCUUUUAACACUAGAAAUUGAUGAAAUUUUUAAUA